This 564-nucleotide ribosomal RNA is filed under the name uncultured Alphaproteobacteria bacterium. RNAcentral's name for it is "bacterial SSU rRNA". It matches the Rfam family "Bacterial small subunit ribosomal RNA", at positions 336 to 918 of the family's 1533-position model. The record is from RNAcentral. Lineage: Bacteria; Pseudomonadati; Pseudomonadota; Alphaproteobacteria.
UUCCUACGGGAGGCAGCAGUGGGGAAUCUUAGACAAUGGGCGCAAGCCUGAUCUAGCGAUGCCGCGUGAGUGAUGAAGGCCUUAGGGUCGUAAAGCUCUUUCGCCAGGGAUGAUAAUGACAGUACCUGGUAAAGAAACCCCGGCUAACUCCGUGCCAGCAGCCGCGGUAAUACGGAGGGGGUUAGCGUUGUUCGGAAUUACUGGGCGUAAAGCGUACGUAGGCGGAUCAGAAAGUUAGGGGUGAAAUCCCAGGGCUCAACCCUGGAACUGCCUCUAAAACUCCUGGUCUUGAGUUCGAGAGAGGUGAGUGGAAUUCCAAGUGUAGAGGUGAAAUUCGUAGAUACUUGGAGGAACACCAGUGGCGAAGGCGGCUCACUGGCUCGAUACUGACGCUGAGGUACGAAAGUGUGGGGAGCAAACAGGAUUAGAUACCCUGGUAGUCCACACCGUAAACGAUGAAUGCCAGACGUCGGCAGGCAUGCCUGUCGGUGUCACACCUAACGGAUUAAGCAUUCCGCCUGGGGAGUACGGUCGCAAGAUUAAAACUCAAAUGAAUUGACGGAA